Molecule: unclassified non-coding RNA, 228 nt
Filed under: plant metagenome
Description: partial contains small subunit ribosomal RNA, internal transcribed spacer 1, and 5.8S ribosomal RNA
Source: RNAcentral
UCUCCGUUGGUGAACCAGCGGAGGGAUCAUUACCGAGUCCCACAACUCCAAACCCCUCCGAACCGUACCCCAGUUUGUCCUCGUUGCCUCCUGGCGGCGGGCCCCCGGCGCCACCGCCGGGGCCCCCGCCAGCGGCGGCGAGACCCCUGUACCUUUUUUUCUCAACAAGCCCGUCUGGGCUAACAAAAAAAUGAAUCAAGACUUUCAACAACGGAUCUCUUGGUUCUG